Molecule: long non-coding RNA, 491 nt
Filed under: Salarias fasciatus (jewelled blenny)
Lineage: Eukaryota; Metazoa; Chordata; Actinopteri; Blenniiformes; Blenniidae
Description: lncRNA (ENSSFAG00005006644.1)
Source: RNAcentral
UUCUAUUAGAAAAUAUUAGAAAACAAGCCAACCUAUUCUUCUAAUGACGAUUUCCACUUUUGCAGGUUGUUGGGAAUAUAUCAGAUGCUGUACAAUAUCACCAAACAGUACGUGGAAGAACUGAAGCACUUUGCUGGCUGUGAGAAGGAAGAGCAGCAGUUGAUGGCCAUCAUGUCCCAGAUCCAGACAGCCCUGCAGGCAGCAGGAGAAAGGCUGGAGGGCAGUCCUGCCCUGCUGAGUUAUCCAGGUGAACAUCUUUUCUUGUGUGGCUCCUACACCAAAAGUGCUCAAAUGUGGAAGAUACAGAUCUGCGAAGAAAGUAACAAAAAUUGCGAUCGAAGUGUGUAUCAGGAGAAACGGCUUUGUCUGGCGCUCCUCUAUAGUCUUUUGUCGCAGUACCAGCUAAAGGAAGCACAGGAGUUGGGGGACCACAUGGCCCAGCUGGUACUGAACAGGGCUGGACACCACAAGGACCGCUUCACAGGUCAACC